UCGAGGUGGCAAAGGGGUGUUUGUGAAGGGUCUUUUCCUUCAUUCUACAAACCAUCUCUCCAGUAGUCUACAGUCAGCAAUCUUCCUGGAUGCCCAAGUUUCCUGGAAAAAAACAAGACAUCCUCUGCUGAGCUUUCAUCAAGUAACCAUCAGGAGAGCUGUCGAGCGACUUUAGUGUGGAAGAAACUGCUAAUGUUUAGAAACCAGGAGACACACGAUGCCAUUUCACUGCUGAAGCUAAGCAGAUGGAGACCAACUGGGAACCAUGUGUAAACUGCUCUUAGUUCUUCAGAGGAAGAACAAGGCAGAGGUACUGAAUGAGAGGUACAUAUGCAUUCAACAUGGUGAGCAAAUCUUCCAACUGGCUUUGUCGAUCUGUAAAUGCUAAAGGAAGCAAGAGAAAGAAGAAGAAUUAAAAUUGGCUUCCUUGUUUUAGGUCAGGGCUAAAGAUGGGUCUUUGGUCAGAGAAGGUUGAAAAUAAUUGUUGUGACCUUUCUUUGUUUUGUGUUUUGUUCACUUCCAAGCCAUACAUCUACACUGCAUAAUUUCAUUUCUCACCAGAACUUAAAACUCACUCCCCCCUGGCAUCUCCUGCAAUGUUUACUUAAAAUAAUAGAAUUAGGAGAAUUAGAUGGACAAAAAAACCCUGCAAAAUUCUUCAGAUCUUAUUGAAAUGUUUCCUCCCUCAUAAUUUCCAUGGGUUUUCUUUGGGCAAAAUUCAGAUGCCAAGUUGACACACCUGUGGGAAAUGUUGCAUAUCUUGAAAUUGUUCUCCCCCCCCAAAAAAAACAAUAGUGACUGGUAAGGGAGGACUAAUACCUUAAGAUAUUAUUUGACCACUGAUAACAUUCAGAGUUAAAGGUUCAUUUGAACAAGCUCUGUAAAGAUUAUGGAGUGGAGGGACAUAAACACAUGAUUCAAUUUAACGGAUGGUUACUUUUUUUUACUUUGCUACCUCUCUAGUAUAUUACCCAUACCUUUAAGUUGAUAUACUUUGUCUCCACUGUGUUAUUUAGUCACCUAUAGCAACAUCAAGUAGGGCUUCAAACAUUAAUCAGUAUAACUGGUAAUUAACAGUAAUAAGUGACAAUAAGUGAGGGCAAAUUUUAACCAGGGAGACUGGUUAAGGCAUGCUUUUUACAGGUUGUUUGGUGCUAGUCUGGCAUUUUAACAGGGAAUGAAAAGAAACUGAGGUCAGUCCUUUUGUUGUGGGCCAGCUGUCCUUAUAGAAUAGCGAUUAGAGAUAGGUUUUUCCAUCAGAGUUUUACAUGUUUUAAGAAAAACCCUCAGAGUUUAAAGAGGCCACUUGUUUCAUUUUUUCCCCUCCUCCAGUUUGACUGCACAUUUUUUCCAUUCAGUUUUGGGAAGUCAGGCAAGGUCCCAAGCUUGUACCAUAAACAGAGAUAAACAUUCCAUAUAUGGCUAUUCCUACUUCAGUCCAUUUUAUGGCUUUUCCUGUUGCCAACUGAAGCCUGACUGAUGUCUCUAAUACUAGAAUGACAUAGCUCUGUGUGAAUAUAGAGAUAGCCAGAGUGAUAAGUGUGAGAAAUUCCCAGGGUAACGUGUCAUUUGUUCUUCAUAAUGUGUCAUUCCCUGUCAUUUGUACUUCAUUCAUCCUAUAAAAGGUGUGUGUUAAGACCCCUAAUAUACAAGACUUUUUGGAUAUGGCCCCUCACCUUUCAGUAGGCCAGUCCUUUGAACAUGGACUGUUUUGACAAUUACUGCUGGAAAGUUCAAGGCUUGCUUUGCCUUGGAACUUAGUAGGCAAGGAAGUAUUCAUUCUUUUCCAGUUUUGGAUACUUUGAUUUUACAGGAUGUCUGGUCUUAUAUGAUUAUAUCAUUAUAUAACAGUAUGCUU
Rhineura floridana is the source of this 1858-nucleotide long non-coding RNA. RefSeq lists it as uncharacterized. Lineage: Eukaryota; Metazoa; Chordata; Lepidosauria; Squamata; Rhineuridae. The record is from RefSeq and is a predicted model, not a curated record. The transcript is spliced from 3 exons.